This 73-nucleotide transfer RNA is filed under the name Bos taurus (domestic cattle). It matches the Rfam family "tRNA". Rfam says of the family: Transfer RNA (tRNA) molecules are approximately 80 nucleotides in length. Lineage: Eukaryota; Metazoa; Chordata; Mammalia; Artiodactyla; Bovidae. The record is from Rfam by way of RNAcentral.
UCCCUGGUAGUUCAGUGGCUAAGACACUACACUCCCAAUGCAGGGGACCCAGGUUCAAUCCCUGGUCAGGGAA